GUUUCUAUCGACAGAGGAGAGAAAGGUCAUGAUUAAACCCUACAGUCUGAUGACAUUUGUCCAAACAGAUAAACCAAUCUACAACCCGGGACACACAGUGCAGUUUAGAGUCAUCACCUUGGAUACCAGUUUUAGCCCUGUCAAUCAGCUGUACAACAUUGUGGAACUGCAGGUAAGACCCUUAUUAGUCUAUCAAU
Molecule: non-coding RNA, 197 nt
Organism: Salvelinus sp. IW2-2015
Lineage: Eukaryota; Metazoa; Chordata; Actinopteri; Salmoniformes; Salmonidae
Source: RefSeq, a predicted model, not a curated record